UACGUAGGGUGCAAGCGUUGUCCGGAAUCAUUGGGCGUAAAGAGCUCGUAGGCGGCUUGUUGCGUCGACUGUGAAAACCUGCGGCUCAACCGUGUGGUCUGCAGUCGAUACGGGCAGGCUGGAGUUCGGUAGGGGAGACUGGAAUUCCUGGUGUAGCGGUGAAAUGCGCAGAUAUCAGGAGGAACACCGGUGGCGAAGGCGGGUCUCUGGGCCGAUACUGACGCUGAGGAGCGAAAGCGUGGGGAGCGAACAGG
RNAcentral lists this ribosomal RNA (254 nucleotides) under uncultured bacterium. RNAcentral's name for it is "partial 16S ribosomal RNA". It matches the Rfam family "Bacterial small subunit ribosomal RNA", at positions 524 to 776 of the family's 1533-position model. The record is from RNAcentral.